GGAUAAGAUNCAUCGGUUAUGGGAUGNGGUCGCGUCCUAUCANACUUGAUGGCGGGGUAACGGCCCACCAUGGCUUCGACGGGUUAGCCGGCCUGAGAGGGCGACCGGCCACAUUGGGACUGAGAUACGGCCCAGACUCCUACGGGAGGCAGCAGUGGGGAAUAUUGCACAAUGGGCGCAAGCCUGAUGCAGCGACGCCGCGUGCGGGAUGGAGGCCUUCGGGUUGUAAACCGCUUUUGAUCGGGAGCAAGCCCUUCGGGGUGAGUGUACCCUUCGAAUAAGCACCGGCUAACUACGUGCCAGCAGCCGCGGUAAUACGUAGGGUGCAAGCGUUAUCCGGAAUUAUUGGGCGUAAAGGGCUCGUAGGCGGUUCGUCGCGUCCGGUGUGAAAGCCCAUCGCUUAACGGUGGGUCUGCGCCGGGUACGGGCGGGCUGGAGUGCGGUAGGGGAGACUGGAAUUCCC
RNAcentral lists this ribosomal RNA (463 nucleotides) under Bifidobacterium dentium. Its description in RNAcentral is "bacterial SSU rRNA". It matches the Rfam family "Bacterial small subunit ribosomal RNA", at positions 201 to 671 of the family's 1533-position model. Lineage: Bacteria; Bacillati; Actinomycetota; Actinomycetes; Bifidobacteriales; Bifidobacteriaceae. The record is from RNAcentral.